AGCAUUGACCUUUAAAUUCAGAAAACUAAGUUGUCAGUACUGUAAUUUUUUUCUGAAGAACAGGAAGGAAGAUGUUUGCAUUUAUAAGUUUCUGGUUUUACAAAUUGUCAUAACACAUUUCAACCAACAAUCUUAUCAGUAUCUCUCCAGCUUUUAUCUCCUUAAUCUAGUUCUGUAAUCUUGCAGUUGUUUAUCACAUUUCUGUUACAAGGCAAAUGAACAGAAAGGUACAGCCUGUUCUUGUGUCAUUGACAUUGCCUAGCUUAUUAUUCAAACAUGUGGAAGUGGAUACCAAAGAAAGGCACAGAGAACAGUACAACCCACAUAAAUCAAUCUCAGAUCACUUCCACAAAAGAGCAAUCUGGUCCAUUACCAACACCAAUCUGGAUGAACCACCUGCCAACCCCUGAGAUUCUUCCACCCAGAUGUGACAUAUUAGUAAUAAACACUCCCGGGUGUGGUGCAGGUUUCCGGCAGAGUGCUUUUGGGACAUACCUUGAUACUGGAACAUACUUCUAGUCAGGAAGUAAGCACCUCAGAAACAUCAGUCAUUUUCUACCAGACUGCAGCAGAAAAUCCCAGAAGACAGUCAGCUUCAGAUGUGUAAAUAAGAAGGAACAAUUUAAGCACCUAUAGCCCAAAGAAGGAUCUAAGGAAUAUAAAUUAACUCUUCUUAAAGCUACACAAGACAAAAGACUUGUGAAGCCGGAACAGACAAUCAUACCUAUCCCAUGACGUGUAGAAGAAGAAGAAGAAGCAGCGGCAUAGUUGGUAUUACUGGUAAAAUCAGUUGAUCAAUACAAGAUGGAUGUGAUUCCUUGAUAGUGCCAUGACCACCCUGAGGGUCCAGGGAAAACACAAAACAUGGUAGUUGCCCCGUCCACAAA
Zootermopsis nevadensis is the source of this 887-nucleotide non-coding RNA. Lineage: Eukaryota; Metazoa; Arthropoda; Insecta; Blattodea; Termopsidae. The record is from RefSeq and is a predicted model, not a curated record.